This 253-nucleotide ribosomal RNA is filed under the name uncultured bacterium. RNAcentral's name for it is "partial 16S ribosomal RNA". It matches the Rfam family "Bacterial small subunit ribosomal RNA", at positions 524 to 776 of the family's 1533-position model. The record is from RNAcentral.
UACGUAGGGUGCAAGCGUUAAUCGGAAUUACUGGGCGUAAAGCGUGCGCAGGCGGUUUUGUAAGUCUGUCGUGAAAUCCCCGGGCUCAACCUGGGAAUUGCGAUGGAGACUGCAAGGCUAGAAUCUGGCAGAGGGGGGUGGAAUUCCACGUGUAGCAGUGAAAUGCGUAGAGAUGUGGAGGAAUACCGAUGGCGAAGGCAGCCCCCUGGGCCAAUACUGACGCUCAUGCACGAAAGCGUGGGGAGCAAACAGG